GAAGAUAUUAGUUCUUGCUGGUGUGAGAGGCUGAAGCUGCCAGCAUGAUCUGGUCCAUGAGUUGCACUGCUGAAUAUAUUGAAUUCAGCCAGGAGCUGCUACUGCAGUUCUGAUCUCGAUCUGCAUUCGUUGUUCUGAGCUAUGUAUGGAUUUGAUCGGUUUGAAGGCAUCCAUGUCUUUAAUUUCAUCGAUCAGAUCAUGUUGCAGCUUCACUCUCUCACUACCAGCAAAACCAUCUCA
This 240-nucleotide microRNA precursor is filed under the name Oryza sativa (Asian cultivated rice). RNAcentral describes it as "precursor microRNA 167g". The stretch from base 19 to 224 matches the Rfam family "MIR167 microRNA precursor family". The record is from RNAcentral. Lineage: Eukaryota; Viridiplantae; Streptophyta; Magnoliopsida; Poales; Poaceae.